This 1311-nucleotide long non-coding RNA is filed under the name Toxoplasma gondii VEG. Lineage: Eukaryota; Apicomplexa; Conoidasida; Eucoccidiorida; Sarcocystidae. The record is from RNAcentral.
GCUCAACAAGAGUCUUUUCAGCGCGAGAGUUGAAAGUAUUUUUCUCGCUUUCUGAAGGAGGGACUUCAGCACCCGCAUUUAGAAGGUCUCUUUCACUCCCUUCGCUCUCGUCCUGCGUCCGUUGCUCAGCGAUCUCGCUGACCAACGGGGAGAGACACUGCAAGCGGAUGUUCGUCCACUUGAGACAAUCAUUCCGAGUCACAGAGAAACCGAGACGUCUCCAGAUGCGAAGCUCCAAUCUUUCUGUAACUGGGAGGUCUCAUGCUUGCAGGAGUGUGACGAAGAGUCGCAGGAGCUCUUUGGGUUCCAGGAACGGCGGCCAGCCUGCAAGAUCAUCUGCACUGCUAGUUCGUCAUUCCAGAAGUGACGAUAACGCAUGAGGAACGGAAGCGAAUUCGCCGUCUGCUUUUGCGUUAGUGUCGCGAUCGAUAGCAGACUCCACGCAGCAGUUCUUCCGGAAAUCCUCUUCCUCAGACUCGAAGGGCAAGCCGCGGAAACGCAAGCAGAAAUGGAGAGGAGGAGGAAACAUAUCACAAAGAAAAUGGGUAAAAUCAAGGAAUGAGGCUCAGCGAGGCGAUCCGUUUUCCUCGGAGAUCCUUGGCAAACGUUUGUUGCGUCAGAAUUCUCCCUCGAUUCGCGAGUGCGUGCGGCAGGGAGACGGGUGCAUUUCCGGGAGAGGGAAAACGGCAGAAAACAACGAAGCUCUUUCAGUUUUCCUGCGUUGGUCCUGGAAAGAGCCUUUCGUAACUCGCAGAAAACAGGGAACAAAGGCUUGCGAGCAGGCAAGUUGAAGGACUUUCGUCUUCAACGCGAACAAAGAAGAUCCACGUUUCAGUGUCAUCAUCGGUUCCAGGCUCGACAGAGUCUCAAGUCUGUUGCUUGUUUCACACGGGGUGUUCGGACUCCAGUCCGUAUGUCCUCAUCUCUCACUUGUGACCAAGAGGAGAUCACUAAACAACGUCUCACGCGUAGAGUCUGUAUGUAAGCCUUCAUGUUGUCGCGAGUUUAACUAAGGGGCGCGGCGCAGAAGCUGCGUUCUCGCCGUAUUCUCCGUGUGUUUCUCUCAGUACAAGCACUGAGGAGACUCCGCGAGACUUGCGGUCGCAACGAAAAGCAGUUCCUGCUGCCACCAGUGGAACAAUUGUAGAGUCAGACACGGUACGUUCACCACGGCCCGCAAUUGUGAAAGUCUCUGCUCGGACUCCGUGGAAAAAAAGCCAAGGUAGAAGCCUGCCGUGGACAGUUGUGCUGUCUAGCUGUCAAGGGCGUCGGUCUCCAGGUGACAUUUUUCGAAACAAUAAUUGUGAGGGG